AAGACUAUCCUGAAGAUUAGUGAAUCGAGCAGUCCAAUUCAAAUCUCUCAAAAUCUUUGUUGGAUCACUAUAAACCUCUGCGUAAUCUCCUGGCCGUCGGGGCAGUAAAUCUACUUUAAUCUCAACUCCUGUCGCCUUCUUACACGCCUCCACAAAUUCCUUAACUGAUCUUCCUGUUUAGCCAAACAAACAAACAAACUGUAACUACUAUCUCGUGUAAUGAAACCAAUUUAUGAUACCGACUUUAUGAGGCUGAGCUUUCUCAAGAGCCUUUACGUGAGCAUCCACGAGUCCGGGAAUGAAACCGCGAGCGGCAUCAAAACAAGCACCGGAGAUACGUCCCUGGUCACGAAGUUCGGGUCUUGGAGCUUCUCCUAAUCUACCUCCUGGAUCUGAACCAAUCACAUUGAAGUAUCUGCAAGUUCAGAGAUUCAUAAACAUUUGCAUAAUUGUUUCAUUGAUCAUAGAGUAACAAAAAAAGGCUAAAGAAUAUGCUCAAUGAACCUAACCUCAAGAUCAUAACAGCCAUGUCAGAGUUCUUAGAGAAAUCCAAGAUCAUGUCCUCUGCCAUCUUUUUAGCUUUCCCGUAAGGAUUAAUCGGAACCUAAAUCAAAUAUUUUCAUUAGAAGAAUGAGACAAAUGAAUUUGUAAUGAAUUAAUGAUCUUAAUUUUACCUGCGGGGUAUCUUCAGUAA
Molecule: long non-coding RNA, 694 nt
Organism: Brassica oleracea var. oleracea
Lineage: Eukaryota; Viridiplantae; Streptophyta; Magnoliopsida; Brassicales; Brassicaceae
Exons: 3
Source: RefSeq, a predicted model, not a curated record